UUCCGGAGUGGUCACACCACUGUUGCUAUGCUAAUGGAAUGACUGGCCUGCGUUGUCAGGAGCGAUGAGAAUGCGCCCUCGGUUUCUGUUUGGCGACAAGCACGAGAAGAGCAGGAGGGGAAACUGAGCCAGAGCAGGAUCAAGGAGACCUUCGCUGCUUUAUAAAUGGACCUGACUCAACAAAGCCCAGCACAUUGUAUCUUGUGCUAGUCUGACACUGCAAGGAUGAAUCACGCUGCAGCUGUACACUUGAGGAUAAUAAAAAGGGUUGCAUUCAGCCGCUUCUCACCCUCAGAGAACGUCUAUCAAAGAAACAUUAAAAAAUGUUUUGAAACCACAGUGCAGCUCAUUUUAAAUUGCAUCAUGUCGGUCUUCUAAGUUACUCUGUUGUUUUUGACCAGUUUUCCACUUUGGCACGCAUGAAACUCAUGACCUACAUGAUGCCUUGCGGAUUACAAAUCAUGAAUAUGAAAUAAAUAACCUGGCACUGUAUAGUUAUAGUACAUUAUAAUAUACAAUUAUAGUAUAGUUAUACAGUGUCAGGUUAUUGAUAUCAUAAUCAGGAUUUAUUCACAGGCUUUAGUCAUUUAUUUGAAACUCAAUGGGAAUUCCAUUAUUAAGUUUCUAUUAGUAUUUCUAAAUGUAUCUGAGUAAUUACCAACAUUCCAGAUGUGAGACUGCUGUUCUGCUAUUGAGGUAUAAGAAGAUGAUAAAGUCUUUAACCACACUU
This is a long non-coding RNA of Acipenser ruthenus (sterlet), 730 nucleotides long. RefSeq lists it as uncharacterized. The transcript has 3 exons. The record is from RefSeq and is a predicted model, not a curated record. NCBI's taxonomy places the organism in Eukaryota, Metazoa, Chordata, Actinopteri, Acipenseriformes, Acipenseridae.